CUCCUGUCGGUCCUAACAACAGCUAUGUCACCGACACCAAGGCUGGUGCUCCUCAGUUCGUCGCCUGGGUCAACCAGCUCAACCUGACCUACACUCCUCUCACCGUCACUGGCGAGAAUGAGGGCUACACCUACCAGCCCGCUGGUGAGGUCUACGCCGGCGGCGCUGGCGUUGUCAACCAGACUACCUUCAUUGCUCUGACUGACUCCGACCCUUACCUCACACCCUUCAACCUGAGCAUGAUCAACCCUCACGUUGCCGCUCUCGGUCUGUUCGUUGCUGGUUAAAAGGAUCGCUG
This 298-nucleotide unclassified non-coding RNA is filed under the name Hevea brasiliensis (rubber tree). The record is from RNAcentral. Lineage: Eukaryota; Viridiplantae; Streptophyta; Magnoliopsida; Malpighiales; Euphorbiaceae.